RNA transcript from Betta splendens (Siamese fighting fish), 3998 nucleotides. RefSeq lists it as uncharacterized. Lineage: Eukaryota; Metazoa; Chordata; Actinopteri; Anabantiformes; Osphronemidae. The transcript has 19 exons. The record is from RefSeq and is a predicted model, not a curated record.
UUAAUUGAGCGUCCUCACGUUCAGCUGACCCGUCGGUGCGCGUGGGCUCGUCCGGUGAUGUCUUUCAAACUAAUUAGAGAAGUCGCUUUGUUUUUAUUUGUUCCAACACUUUAUUUAUACACGUUUCGCGUUUGUCAUUCGGUGAGUUUAGGGCAGCGGGCGGGAGAUUUUACGUCUCACCGAGUUCAGGAGUCGCCACCUUCCACGAGCUGGAGAGAAAUUAAACGACACGACGACGCCCAUCAGGCGGAGUGGCGCUGGGCUGAACACGUUACCCGCGGCGCACGUGCGGACACGUCCAACCGGUCGCCUCCUCACCAGGUUCCGGUUAAGUCUUCUGACCUUCCCGGGAACACGCUCCCGCAGUCUAAAGCGCGGGAAGUUGAUGAAACCGGCAGUGAUUUCGCGGGCAGCAGCUUGUCUUGGGCCGCUGGUAACGCCAGCCUGGUACCAAGGUCCUCUGCGCCAGCCUCGGGUGGAUACCAAGCAGAUUUCACAGGGGUCCAGGGGAAGCUUUUGGGCCCUCCGGCCUCCAGUCAGCAUUUGUCCGAGUGGCUGGCUAUGAGGCCCGAGGUUCAGUGUGAUGACGGUGCUAUGACUUUCACCGCCUCUGGACGGGGAUUCGCACACCUGUUGGUGGACAGAGAGGGAGCCUCUCCCAUCUCCCUGUUCCAUUUACCGCCCCACUGUGGGUACUCUGUGAGGACGUCAUGGACUGACCUUGAAAUGAUGGCUUCAUAUGACUCGUGUUAUAUCAUAAAGAAGAAUGACAGCUUUGUGCUGCCCAUGCUGUGGUGGGGAAGCCCACUCAAACUCUCCUGUCCGGUGAAAUUGUCUCCUGACCCUUCAUUCUUGGUCUCUGCCCCGUCGGUCUUUUGCUCCUCCUCCACCAUGGCAGUGCAGAUAUAUGGGCACAAAGAGGAUGUACAGCUGUUGGGUGUCAUGGUAAAUGGAGGCUGGGGUCCGUUCGUGUCUGAUGGCUGUGCCUAUCAUGGCUCAUCCCAACCGAAGAAGCUUACAUUCUUCAUCCCCUACAGUGCUGCUUGUAUCAACAGUGGAGAUGACUUGCAUCUCCAUCUUACAUUUGACGACCAGGAGUACGUUCUCUCGUGUCCAUCCGAUCCUCGGCUUCUCUCCAUUCCGACUACUCCCCCUCCACCUCCUAUUGACCCUCAGUUUAGAUCUACCUCUGAUCCUGGUAGAUCCUUGACCACCCCCACUUCUCAUCUUCCCACCCAGAAGCAGACUGCUCAACUUCCACAAUAUCCCUUCCUCCCCCAGAUGCCCCAGGUGUUCCCUCCUGGCUCCCAACCGGCUCGCCCCUCUCAGCCUCCUCCUGGCAGUCCUCCUGGACUCCAGCCCUCACAGCAACAGUUCAUCUAUCCAAUGGUGUCUGGUGAAUGGCCGUAUUUUUCUGUAGUACCUCCAAAAUACCCUUAUCAAUCUCCAGUGGUUGACCAUUCUUUUAAAUUGCCUCUGAAAUCUCCCCCCUAUCUCUCUAGUCUGUAUUACCCCCAUAUGCCCUUUAAAUACCCCUCAGUGACAACAGCUCCCACAUCUGUUACUACAAAAGCUACAUUUCCUCUUGCUGCUCCUCCAGCAAGCCCAUCACAGAGACCCGCAGGCAAUCCAUACUACCCUCAGUAUUAUUUUAAGGUACCUAACAACCCUGCACCCAGUGCAGCACCAGGGACCAAGGCUCCUCCUGUUCUUGCUCCUCUCCAACCUCCACCAAAACAACCUGUAGGUCCACAGUACCAGAUCGGCCCAUUUUACCCACCUGGUUAUUACAGCGCUUAUUUUCCUUAUGGACCAGUGUCCUACUCACAGUUUGGCCCCAAAGUGCAAUCGCCUUCUCUACCUUCUACCACCACUAAGAUAACGGAUCCCAGUUCACCUGACCGUUCUGCUUAUCCCCCUGGCCAGUUUUACCCUUACCUCCCCAUGCCUCCACCACUACCCCCUAUCAAAGGGAAUCUACAGGCCACCUGCCCCUUUCACACCUUGUGUAGCCACCAUUUUUCCUAUCACUUUCUCUACCAUCCAUAUUAUCCAAUUCCUCCAUAUUCCGACACUCAGUUAGCGCCUACCACUAAACAGCCUUUACCUACCACCACUCCUACCACUACAGCAGCUACGACGCCACCUACCCCAGCCAGUGGCACUACGCAGAUGCCUUAUGUCCAGUGUUUAAUGGGGUGGGUGACCAUCCUCCUGCCUUUUGCUCACCCAGAUUCCAUCCAGGUCAAAGACCAAAUGAAUACGUGGCUGUUCCUCUCCAGUGUGUCUCCACUGUGUGGGUACAUGAUGCAGAUGGCUGAGGGCUCUGGGGUAAUCCUUCACUCUCCUCUGCCUGCCUGUCACAGCGAGUCACGGACUCCCACAACCAUUUCCUUAACUCUGAGGUUUUGGGACCUGGCUGCAGGGCGCUAUAAGAUUGUGGAGCCACAAUGCUCAUAUGACAGUCUGUCAAAGAGUCCUGCACCACUUCAACAACCAGUCACCCCUCGCCCCUCCAUCACCACCAAUGAAAACAUUGGUCCGAUAGUUCUCCCGAGGAAUAAAGUUGUCUGCUCCUCCCAUCAAAUGACUGUGGAGCUCCCCUCUGGUUCCAUUUCUGGAAUCGUUGUUAAAGACAUCAAAGGGAAUGAGAUGAACCUCCAUGAUGCCCCAAAGCACUGUGGGUAUUCUGCAAAAGAAGGCAAAGGUGGCAAAAUUCAUUUGAGCCUGCAGUUGCACUCCCACUGCCAUAUGAGCGUGCAGGAUAAAAUGUACAUCAUCACUGUCAUCUACAUGACAGUCAAUGGGAAAAGGGAGGCGCAGUUUUCUUGUCCGGUUGUCAGCUCUGGGGCUGGGAAAGAGUGCAACCUUCCCAGCGAACAGCGUCUCCCCUGUGGAUCCGGCCCUGUAUCCCAGACACGGUGCCUCUCCAUGGGCUGCUGCUUCAGCAAGCACCCCCCUGCCUGCUACUACCCCAUGGAUGAGUGCACUGUUGACCGCCACUUUGUGUUCUCCGUGCCUGCCUCCCUCACGGACCCCCCUCUUUCUCCUUCUAUGCUGGUUACUGAUGGAAACUCGACCUGCAAGCCCGAGAGAGUGACCUCUGACUUUGCCGUGUUCAAGAUUCCAUUGGAUGACUGUGGGACAAGGAGAGUGAUGGUGGGACAAGCAGUAAUCUACAUGGUGGAGAUCAUUAACAAGGUUCAGGCAAUUAGCCUUAACUAUGGUACAAUCACAAGAGACUCUCCAGUCAGGUUGUUGGUGGAGUGCCGGUUUCUGCCAGAUACUGUCCUAAGUGUGGGCUACAUGGUUAAAACUCCCACCCUUGGACCUGAAGUUCAUACACAGGGGACAUUUGGAGUCCAGCUCAGAAUUGCCAAAGACGCCCAGUACAGCAGCUACUACCCUCAGUAUCACCAGCCCCUGCAGAUGCUGCUGGGAAAACCUCUCUACCUAGAAGUGCGGCUGCUCAACACCCCCGAUCCCAGUUUGGUGCUGCUGGUGCACUUCUGUGUGGCCUACCCCCGCUCUGCUACAGCUGUGUGGGUUCUGCUUUACAACGGGUGUCCGAACCCCUUGGAUCCAGCCCUGCAGCAGGCUGUACUGUCUGAUCCCCAGCCCUCCUCCCCACGGGGGCAGACCCGCCGCUUCACAGUCGAGACCUUUCAGUUUCUUCCUGAUGGCGAGUUCGUGGACUUGGAUGAAGAGAUCUACUUCAUGUGUUCGACGGAAAUCUGCUCGCCGCGUGAUGGGCCUUGUGUGGAGGGAUGCUUCGGACAGUGACGGUGAGGAAAGUUGCCCCUCUACAGAAAUCACCCACUACAUCUUCGUGAACCUCGGCAGGAAUCACGUGCAAGCGCCCAUGAAUGAGCCCUAUUUGUCAAAGAACAGCCUGAGAGCCAGCAUUUUCCUUACUACAUGGAAGAUACUUGAAGUUGGUCGAGUUUGGGGCCUCGUGCUCCUCUUCACCACUAAUAAAAGCUGUUGAAGGACUCUGA